Ictidomys tridecemlineatus (thirteen-lined ground squirrel) is the source of this 71-nucleotide non-coding RNA. The record is from Rfam. NCBI's taxonomy places the organism in Eukaryota, Metazoa, Chordata, Mammalia, Rodentia, Sciuridae.
UGGGGUGUAGUUCAGUGGUAGAGCCCUUGCUUAGCAAGCAUGAAGCCUGGGUCCAAUUCCCAGUGCUGUAA